GUUUUCUUUUAUUGCUUAACUCAUGGGUUACAAUCUCAAUGAGAUGUACCCCAAAUGUUCUUUUAUUAAUUUCAUAGAAUAGAGAGGGGCAGCAUUAGAAGAUGACAUCAAAUAUAAUGUAGCUUGGUGAGUAUUGCAAUGAUUAGAACUUGCUUCUAAUUUCUGAUACAUACAACUGUAUGCAAAAUUUCCAGAAAUCGCAAUAAUAAGUCUCAAUCUACUUUUGACUUGGUUCCCCAUUUUGAUCCUUUCAGGGGUAAUUAUCAUAAACAUCAUCAAAAGUCAA
This 286-nucleotide long non-coding RNA is filed under the name Mytilus galloprovincialis (Mediterranean mussel). The record is from RNAcentral. Lineage: Eukaryota; Metazoa; Mollusca; Bivalvia; Mytilida; Mytilidae.